Long non-coding RNA from Paramisgurnus dabryanus, 267 nucleotides. RefSeq lists it as uncharacterized. The record is from RefSeq and is a predicted model, not a curated record. NCBI's taxonomy places the organism in Eukaryota, Metazoa, Chordata, Actinopteri, Cypriniformes, Cobitidae.
GUUAGCGGCGCCCAACCUGACGAGCGCAGCUGGGCCGGCAGAAAGCACACGUGAAAAAAGGCACUGUGUUGUUGUUUGGGUAGUAAAAUGACGGGUGCUACACACCAAAGAUGUCCACACAUCAUUCAGGUGGGUCCCAUUUGGUCCUGGGCCUUCAAAAUAUCCAAGGAAAGACACUCUGUCAGAAUCUGUGGCUCUGUGAUGCUUGAGGACCUGCACAGCUUCACUGGAGUGGAUCAGACGCACAGCCACCUGUGCCUCUCCAAC